UGGGGAAUAUUGGACAAUGGGCGCAAGCCUGAUCCAGCCAUGCCGCGUGAGUGAUGAAGGCCCUAGGGUUGUAAAGCUCUUUCACCGGUGAAGAUAAUGACGGUAACCGGAGAAGAAGCCCCGGCUAACUUCGUGCCAGCAGCCGCGGUAAUACGAAGGGGGCUAGCGUUGUUCGGAUUUACUGGGCGUAAAGCGCACGUAGGCGGACUUUUAAGUCAGGGGUGAAAUCCCGGGGCUCAACCCCGGAACUGCCUUUGAUACUGGAAGUCUUGAGUAUGGUAGAGGUGAGUGGAAUUCCGAGUGUAGAGGUGAAAUUCGUAGAUAUUCGGAGGAACACCAGUGGCGAAGGCGGCUCACUGGACCAUUACUGACGCUGAGGUGCGAAAGCGUGGGGGGCAAACAGG
This 404-nucleotide ribosomal RNA is filed under the name Brucella melitensis. Its description in RNAcentral is "partial 16S ribosomal RNA". It matches the Rfam family "Bacterial small subunit ribosomal RNA", at positions 355 to 776 of the family's 1533-position model. The record is from RNAcentral. Lineage: Bacteria; Pseudomonadati; Pseudomonadota; Alphaproteobacteria; Hyphomicrobiales; Brucellaceae. RNAcentral also lists the same sequence under 2 other names.